AGAGUUUGAUCAUGGCUCAGAUUGAACGCUGGCGGCAGGCCUAACACAUGCAAGUCGAACGGUAACAGGAAGCAGCUUGCUGCUUUGCUGACGAGUGGCGGACGGGUGAGUAAUGUCUGGGAAACUGCCUGAUGGAGGGGGAUAACUACUGGAAACGGUAGCUAAUACCGCAUAAUGUCGCAAGACCAAAGAGGGGGACCUUCGGGCCUCUUGCCAUCGGAUGUGCCCAGAUGGGAUUAGCUAGUAGGUGGGGUAAAGGCUCACCUAGGCGACGAUCCCUAGCUGGUCUGAGAGGAUGACCAGCCACACUGGAACUGAGACACGGUCCAGACUCCUACGGGAGGCAGCAGUGGGGAAUAUUGCACAAUGGGCGCAAGCCUGAUGCAGCCAUGCCGCGUGUAUGAAGAAGGCCUUCGGGUUGUAAAGUACUUUCAGCGGGGAGGAAGGGAGUAAAGUUAAUACCUUUGCUCAUUGACGUUACCCGCAGAAGAAGCACCGGCUAACUCCGUGCCAGCAGCCGCGGUAAUACGGAGGGUGCAAGCGUUAAUCGGAAUUACUGGGCGUAAAGCGCACGCAGGCGGUUUGUUAAGUCAGAUGUGAAAUCCCCGGGCUCAACCUGGGAACUGCAUCUGAUACUGGCAAGCUUGAGUCUCGUAGAGGGGGGUAGAAUUCCAGGUGUAGCGGUGAAAUGCGUAGAGAUCUGGAGGAAUACCGGUGGCGAAGGCGGCCCCCUGGACGAAGACUGACGCUCAGGUGCGAAAGCGUGGGGAGCAAACAGGAUUAGAUACCCUGGUAGUCCACGCCGUAAACGAUGUCGACUUGGAGGUUGUGCCCUUGAGGCGUGGCUUCCGGAGCUAACGCGUUAAGUCGACCGCCUGGGGAGUACGGCCGCAAGGUUAAAACUCAAAUGAAUUGACGGGGGCCCGCACAAGCGGUGGAGCAUGUGGUUUAAUUCGAUGCAACGCGAAGAACCUUACCUGGUCUUGACAUCCACGGAAGUUUUCAGAGAUGAGAAUGUGCCUUCGGGAACCGUGAGACAGGUGCUGCAUGGCUGUCGUCAGCUCGUGUUGUGAAAUGUUGGGUUAAGUCCCGCAACGAGCGCAACCCUUAUCCUUUGUUGCCAGCGGUCCGGCCGGGAACUCAAAGGAGACUGCCAGUGAUAAACUGGAGGAAGGUGGGGAUGACGUCAAGUCAUCAUGGCCCUUACGACCAGGGCUACACACGUGCUACAAUGGCGCAUACAAAGAGAAGCGAUCUCGCGAGAGCAAGCGGACCUCAUAAAGUGCGUCGUAGUCCGGAUUGGAGUCUGCAACUCGACUCCAUGAAGUCGGAAUCGCUAGUAAUCGUGGAUCAGAAUGCCACGGUGAAUACGUUCCCGGGCCUUGUACACACCGCCCGUCACACCAUGGGAGUGGGUUGCAAAAGAAGUAGGUAGCUUAACCUUCGGGAGGGCGCUUACCACUUUGUGAUUCAUGACUGGGGUGAAGUCGUAACAAGGUAACCGUAGGGGAACCUGCGGUUGGAUCACCU
RNAcentral lists this ribosomal RNA (1530 nucleotides) under Escherichia coli KTE39. RNAcentral's name for it is "bacterial SSU rRNA". It matches the Rfam family "Bacterial small subunit ribosomal RNA". The record is from RNAcentral. RNAcentral also lists the same sequence under 5 other names. Lineage: Bacteria; Pseudomonadati; Pseudomonadota; Gammaproteobacteria; Enterobacterales; Enterobacteriaceae.